GGCGGCAGGCCUAACACAUGCAAGUCGAGCGGCAGCGCGUCCGACCACCCUCGGGUGGUCGGAUGGCGGCGAGCGGCGGACGGGUGAGGAAUGCAUCGGAAUCUGCCUCGUUGUGGGGGAUAACGUAGGGAAACUUACGCUAAUACCGCAUACGACCUACGGGUGAAAGUGGGGGACCUUCGGGCCUCACGCGAUGAGAUGAGCCGAUGCCGGAUUAGCUAGUUGGCGGGGUAAAGGCCCACCAAGGCGACGAUCCGUAGCUGGUCUGAGAGGAUGAUCAGCCACACUGGAACUGAGACACGGUCCAGACUCCUACGGGAGGCAGCAGUGGGGAAUAUUGGACAAUGGGGGCAACCCUGAUCCAGCCAUGCCGCGUGUGUGAAGAAGGCCUUCCGGUUGUAAAGCACUUUUGUUGGGGAAGAAACCGGCCGGGUUAAUACCCUGGUUGAAUGACGGUACCCAAAGAAUAAGCACCGGCUAACUUCGUGCCAGCAGCCGCGGUAAUACGAAGGGUGCAAGCGUUACUCGG
This 529-nucleotide ribosomal RNA is filed under the name uncultured bacterium. Its description in RNAcentral is "bacterial SSU rRNA". It matches the Rfam family "Bacterial small subunit ribosomal RNA", at positions 38 to 548 of the family's 1533-position model. The record is from RNAcentral.